GGAAAACAGAGCUUCGUUCCUGAGGGAGGAAAACAUGAGCUCUUGGAUGGCAGGAAAGAGUUCCUAGAGAGAGAAGACAAAGAGCCGUUUGUGCUGCAAAAGAAACCCCAGGCUGAAGACUGGAGAUCUGAAUGUGCAACCUGCAAGGGAACUGGAGACAAUGAAACUCCUGUCAGGUCAAGUUGACAAGGGGUCUCAGUGUAGAGGCCAUCAAAGUAAUUUUGGUCAAAACACUUGGUGGCAAGAUGAUGAAGUUUUCUGUUGAAACAAUAAAGUGACUAAAUCCGUUAGCAUGUUGUGCCUGGCGUUCAUCGGUGUCCUCAGCAACAUGCCUGGAUAUCCGUCUCAGGAUUUGGCUUCACCCCAGAAAGCUUCUGAGAAGCUGUCUUCACCCAAUCUGCCCCCAGGGGAGGCCAGAUGUAGUUGUUGCCUCCUCUAC
This is a non-coding RNA of Callithrix jacchus (white-tufted-ear marmoset), 439 nucleotides long. The record is from RefSeq and is a predicted model, not a curated record. NCBI's taxonomy places the organism in Eukaryota, Metazoa, Chordata, Mammalia, Primates, Cebidae.